AUGUCUGGGAUGCUUUCCCAAAGAGUGAAUGAGAGAAAAAAAAAGUCUUUGUCAAGGACACUUAGUACCGGAGGCGCCUGGCGUGCGUGCGUGCGUGCGUGCGUGCGUGCGUGUGUGUGUGUGUGUGUGUGCGUGCGUGCGCGUGCACCCGACCCCAGACCUGCGUUUGCGAUGGGGCGCAUCCUCAGGUUUCCAUUCCAUCAUUUGCCACAAGGAAGUCUGUCCCCCAGUAGCUCCAGGAAGGUCGGAGACAGCUUCAGUUCAGGCGGUCCAGGUCAGUUUCUUGGUCUCCUCUGCAGUGGCAUAGAGAGGAAAGCAGAAUCAUCGUCUCUGGGCUGCUUCUUCUGAGACUCCCACAACUCCUGUAAAAAACAGUUCUCCAAGUCGUGCACAGGCUAGAGAAGUCGCAGGAUCGGAACCAGAAGUCUGAAUGAACCUGGCAAACCCAGGGAGAGGACAGCCAAUCCGCCCCACAGCAAUCAUUCAAUCCUCUCAAAGACCGUCGGGGGGCCACAAUUAGACCAAGCAUCUGAGGCUUUCAGCAGACCGCACUUCACAU
Long non-coding RNA from Meriones unguiculatus (Mongolian gerbil), 559 nucleotides. RefSeq lists it as uncharacterized. The transcript is spliced from 3 exons. NCBI's taxonomy places the organism in Eukaryota, Metazoa, Chordata, Mammalia, Rodentia, Muridae. The record is from RefSeq and is a predicted model, not a curated record.